RNAcentral lists this ribosomal RNA (441 nucleotides) under uncultured bacterium. RNAcentral's name for it is "partial 16S ribosomal RNA". It matches the Rfam family "Bacterial small subunit ribosomal RNA", at positions 339 to 795 of the family's 1533-position model. The record is from RNAcentral.
CUACGGGGCGCUCCAGUCGGGAAUAUUGCACAAUGGAGGAAACUCUGAUGCAGCGACGCCGCGUGAACGAAGAAGGCCUUCGGGUCGUAAAGUUCUGAUGUGAGAGAAGAAGAUAGUGACGGUAUCUCACCAGCAAGCACCGGCUAACUACGUGCCAGCAGCCGCGGUAAUACGUAGGGUGCAAGCGUUGUCCGGAAUUACUGGGCGUAAAGGGAGCGUAGGUGGUUAUAUAAGUCUUUAGUAAAAGGCAUUGGCUCAACCAAUGUAGGCUAGAGAAACUAUAUAACUUGAGUACAGUAGAGGUAAGUGGAAUUCCUAGUGUAGCGGUGAAAUGCGUAGAUAUUAGGAGGAACACCAGUGGCGAAGGCGACUUACUGGGCUGUAACUGACACUGAGGCUCGAAAGCGUGGGGAGCAAACAGGAUUAGAUACCCGAGUAGUC